Biomphalaria pfeifferi is the source of this 295-nucleotide non-coding RNA. The record is from the annotation of a GenBank genome assembly. NCBI's taxonomy places the organism in Eukaryota, Metazoa, Mollusca, Gastropoda, Planorbidae.
GUCGAGUACAUAGAAGGAUUUAUUUUUUAACAUCAUUGCUUUAAAAAAAAAAAAGGACAUUUUACAAUUUGUCACUUCGAUUUUAUUUUCCCAGUGAACAUCGACACGUCUUUCUUUAUCUAACCAACAAGAGGUCUCACUUCAACGAAAUAUCAUUUUAGUUUUAAAUAACAGAAUAAUAACAAAUAAAGUGUGUGUAUCUUUGAGAGACUUCCUCUAUAUCAAUCAUCUAACGCUAAUAUCCAAGUAGUCUUCUAAGGAUGUAUCUAUUAGAACGCACAACACUCCCCCCUUU